GAGUUUGAUCUUGGCUCAGGAUGAACGCUGGCGGCGUGCCUAAUACAUGCAAGUCGAGCGGUAAGGCUUUACACCUAGUAUUUGAUCAAUUGAUCUCAGGUCAAUAUCGAAUAAUAGGUGUAGAGUACACGAGCGGCGGACGGGUGAGUAACACGUGGGAAUCUACCCCAAACUGAGGGAUAAGCAUCGGAAACGGUGUCUAAUACCGCAUAUGGUCUUCGGAUUAAAGCUUCGGCGGUUUGGGAAGAGCCCGCGCAAGAUUAGCUAGUUGGUGAGGUAAUGGCUCACCAAGGCGACGAUCUUUAACUGGUUUGAGAGGAUGAUCAGUCACACUGGAACUGAGACACGGUCCAGACUCCUACGGGAGCAGCAGUAAGGAUUUCCACAAUGGGCGAAAGCCUGAUGGAGCAACGCCGCGUGCAGGAUGAAGGCCCUAGGGUUGUAAACUGCUUUUAUAUGUGACGAAUAUGACGGUAGCAUAUGAAUAAGGAUCGGCUAACUCCGU
Molecule: ribosomal RNA, 505 nt
Filed under: uncultured bacterium
Lineage: Bacteria
Description: bacterial SSU rRNA
Rfam family: Bacterial small subunit ribosomal RNA
Source: RNAcentral